This 800-nucleotide ribosomal RNA is filed under the name uncultured eukaryote. Its description in RNAcentral is "bacterial SSU rRNA". It matches the Rfam family "Eukaryotic small subunit ribosomal RNA", at positions 1 to 819 of the family's 1831-position model. The record is from RNAcentral.
ACCUGGUUGAUCCUGCCAGUAGUCAUAUGCUUGUCUCAAAGACUAAGCCAUGCAUGUCUAAGUAUAAGUUUUAUACGGCGAAACUGCGAAUGGCUCAUUAAAACAGUUAUAGUUUACUUGAUAAUUACAUCUACAUGGAUAACCGUGGUAAUUCUAGAGCUGAUACAUGCUGGCGUGCCCGACUUUUUGGAAGGGCGGUAUUUAUUAGAUAACAAGCCAAUAUUCCUUGUGUCUAUUGUGGUGACUCAUAAUAACUGAUCGAAUCGCACGGCUUUUCGCCGCGAUAAAUCAUUCAAGUUUCUGCCCCAUCAGCUUUCGAUGGUAGUGUAUUGGACUACCAUGGCAAUAACGGGUAACGGAGGAUUAGGGUUCGAUUCCGGAGAGGGAGCCUGAGAAACGGCUACCACAUCUAAGGAUGGCAGCAGGCGCGUAAAUUACCCAAUCCUGAUUCAGGGAGGUAGUGACAAGAAAUAACGAACCGUUAGUAUAUCUACGGGAUUGCAAUGAGCCGAAUUUUUCUUCCCUUGGUGAGGAACAAUUGGAGGGCAAGUCUGGUGCCAGCAGCCGCGGUAAUUCCAGCUCCAAUAGCAUAUAUUAAAGUUGUUGCAGUUAAAAAGCUCGUAGUUGGAUUUCUGCGAGAGUGUCAAUGUCCGCCCACGCGCGUGUGCAGCGACGCCCUCGCAUCCUUCUGUUACCUCCUCUCGGCAUUCACUUGCCGGUGGCUGGCUCAGAGAAUUUACCUUGAGAAAAUUAGAGUGUUUCAGGCAGGCUAGGCCGGAAUACAUUAGCAUGGAAUAAUG